UUAAAAAUUGCAAGAACUUGAACUUACUCGAUUAUUAAAUAUUGCAAUUAACGAAUGCGCGAUUAUUUACAGUUCGCUGGUAUUGGAUAUAUGCCAGUAUCUCGGAAAACGUACAGGCUGCAGGUUCACUCGCACUCAACAAAAUGAUGAUGAUGAGCUCUAAAUUUUGCGAAUAAUCUGUGCAACUUUAAAUCACCACAUUGGAGCGAUCGCCGCAUCCUGGGAUCCGAUCAAAUAUAUACUUCGGAUUAAAUAAUCUCGCUAUAAUGAGAUGGAACCAUGGUCGAAAUACAUCUACGGCAAACUUCGAGAUGAUAUGAACGUGCGUAGGACAUAAAUUCGUAUGUUGUCAAAUCUGAUAAUGAGAGAAAUGAUAUGCGUGAAGGCACAGAUUUUGUAAUUUGCGUCAUCGAUGAGACUGAAUAGAUACGUCGAGAUACGAAGAAAUUCUUCAUUCAAUUUUCUUAAAAAGGCAAUGUCUUAUACAAUAUAGUUCCGGAUAUAUUGUUGCGCUUAGUAAAUCUUCAAUUAGGAGAGGAGAAGGAAGAAGAGGAUGGAGAAGUGGAUCCAGACGCGGAAUGUGGAAGAGGGGAUCUAUUUUUAAUAUUAAUGGAAACAAUAAAUUUUAAUAAAUAUUGUCUAAUAAAAUAUA
This is a long non-coding RNA of Solenopsis invicta (red fire ant), 652 nucleotides long. RefSeq lists it as uncharacterized. The transcript is spliced from 2 exons. NCBI's taxonomy places the organism in Eukaryota, Metazoa, Arthropoda, Insecta, Hymenoptera, Formicidae. The record is from RefSeq and is a predicted model, not a curated record.